GUAAAGAACAAGUGGCGCGUUCCAGUGACUAUCUCGAUGGGCAACUGACCUUUCGCGAACGUCUGAUGGUGCGUCACCACCUGAUGUUCUGCCCCAACUGUCGGCGAUUUAUCCGUCAGAUGCGCCUGAUGCAGGCGACUUUGAAGAUUAUGCCGGAAGAGCCGGUAAAGGACGCUGAUGCAUUGGCAGAUCGGCUGGUAGCCGAACGGCUGAAAGAUCAGUAAAGGCGGGAAAGGCAGACUCGCGUGGGUGAGCCGGACGGAU
Molecule: small RNA, 264 nt
Filed under: Pseudomonas tolaasii NCPPB 2192
Lineage: Bacteria; Pseudomonadati; Pseudomonadota; Gammaproteobacteria; Pseudomonadales; Pseudomonadaceae
Description: Pseudomonas sRNA P17
Rfam family: Pseudomonas sRNA P17 (bases 1-211)
Source: RNAcentral